CAGCAGUCAAAAGCUCCAUUUUCACAAGCUAGAAAGUAAGAGAGAGAAAAAAUAUCACCAUGUGAAAAUCUCAAACAGAGCAUUGUUCAGUUGCAACCAGUGACACACGCCUGAACACACUACCAAUUUUAAUCUUCCUCUGCUAGUUCGUUGAGCAAUCUUGCUGGAGGUUGUGGUUCAUGAUGGUGAUGUUGCAAUCCGCACUGUCGCCCUUACAUGCAGUUGCUUCAACAACAUUAUGUGCACAGAGAGU
This is a long non-coding RNA of Rhinichthys klamathensis goyatoka, 253 nucleotides long. RefSeq lists it as uncharacterized. The transcript has 3 exons. NCBI's taxonomy places the organism in Eukaryota, Metazoa, Chordata, Actinopteri, Cypriniformes, Leuciscidae. The record is from RefSeq and is a predicted model, not a curated record.